UGUACGGAAGUCUGGUCGAUUUUAAUUAUCACAUUCUUCACCUUUGGUUGCAUCGCUUUUUUGAUAUUUUAAUUUAUUCAAUGUCGACAUUUUCUGAAAGUAAUGACAAAAAAAGGUAACUAAUGCAGUUCAGAUCACUGAACGGUCCAUUAAUCAAUGACUUCAUCAUGAGAACAAACAGCCAAAUGUGUUGAAGUCACUAGUUUUCAGUACGAAGAAGUGAAGGAAAAUGCAGCGCAUAUCAUAAGUUCAGCUGAGAUGGCAAACAUGGCCAAAUCACGACAGGAAACGGAACUGUCUUUUCAGGCAUGGCUAAAAAGGGCGAAGGAAAGAAAGGACGUGAAAUCUACGAAAAAGUUUUAAUAUUAUCAUUUAUUUUAUGUUAUUAUUUUCAAUGGAUGUUUCAAAUAAAAAAUAUUUAAAGGUUCAA
Long non-coding RNA from Leptinotarsa decemlineata (Colorado potato beetle), 430 nucleotides. RefSeq lists it as uncharacterized. The record is from RefSeq and is a predicted model, not a curated record. NCBI's taxonomy places the organism in Eukaryota, Metazoa, Arthropoda, Insecta, Coleoptera, Chrysomelidae.